This 1233-nucleotide long non-coding RNA is filed under the name Olea europaea subsp. europaea. Lineage: Eukaryota; Viridiplantae; Streptophyta; Magnoliopsida; Lamiales; Oleaceae. The record is from RNAcentral.
CUCCAUACACUACCGAUUAAAUAUAACAACAUAAUAAUCUUCAUAAUUAGUAAUACAAAUGUCAUAUCCACAAACAGUUUCAAAAUCAAGAAAACACAAAACGAGAAAACGAAAAUUUACUUUUCUAAAAAAAUUCUCGUACUUCACACUGAACCACAACGAAUUCUAGCGAAAAUAAAAAGAAACUGGAAUCAAAUUGAGCCUUGUUAUUCCAAAACCCAACUCCCCUCAUUUACAGGCCACGAUUACUAAAAAAUAUAUUACUUAAGUCGCAUCAAGAUUUGCCUAAACAUGAAUUAAAGGUCGAAAAUCAAAGUCUAACAAAAUAUGAAUUCAUAAACACAAUCUCAUCGAUUGUCGAAAAAAGUAAAGCAUUGCAUAUACUGAUUUAAUGCAGUAAAAAGUAACAAUAACAAAUAUCAGACAAUUUAAUCACAAAAAGUGUAAAUGAAAUUGAAAAAUUAUUAUACCUCAGGAAUCCCUUUGUGGAAUUAGAUGUGAAAAGAUUGGAAUAUUAGCGAAAAUUAGGAAUUGAUUUUUAGUGAAUGGAAGUUGGAUUGCCUAAACUUGAACUAAAGGUCGAAAAUCAAAGUAAAACAAAAUAUUAACUCAUAAACACGACAAGAGGCACCUACAAAAUUCCAGCAAUUUAGUACUAAAUUUAAAUUUGCUUCAAAUCAAUACAUGAACCUCAAACAUAGAUUCAAUGUAAAUCACACACCGAUCAAAAUUUCCUUGUUAGAAAACUUGCUAAUGUAUAAGCCUCACAAAAAUUCACCAUAACAGAGAAGCAAAAAUAUAAAUCAAUUUAUUAAGAAAAAACUAAAAAAUCUAGCACUGUGAACUCAAUAAUCCAUCUAAAUUUCGGAAAAAAUUAACAAUAACAAAGAGCGUAAAUUAAAUUGGAAAAUUAUAUACCUUUCUUAAUUAAUAACAUAUAAAUUACACACAACUGUCAAUUUCACAAACUCAAAAUUAGAUCUGUACAUAUAAAAAGAUGAAAAAAAUCACAGCUAGAUGAAAAACCCGUUGGGAAUCGAACAAGACGACUUGAAGAAAGUUAGAACACAACCCACUAUACCUUUCGAUUAGAAAUCACAACAAGAUGAAGGAAGCCAAUGCACAUCGCGGCACGAUGAAGAAAUUGCAGUGUAGUCGUCUCUUUUGCCUCUUUUUUACUAUCUCAAGAAAGAAAAUGGAAAGCAAAGAAAUUGAAGUAAAGAAUGUACAAGA